GGCAUGGCCGAAUAGUUAAGCAUCUCACUUACACCGAGAAGCAUAUCCAUGCAAACUGGAUUACCCCGA
This 69-nucleotide transfer RNA is filed under the name Clypeobarbus pleuropholis. Its description in RNAcentral is "tRNA-Val". Lineage: Eukaryota; Metazoa; Chordata; Actinopteri; Cypriniformes; Cyprinidae. The record is from RNAcentral.